Unclassified non-coding RNA from Pongo abelii (Sumatran orangutan), 301 nucleotides. It matches the Rfam family "Metazoan signal recognition particle RNA". Rfam says of the family: The signal recognition particle (SRP) is a universally conserved ribonucleoprotein. It is involved in the co-translational targeting of proteins to membranes. The eukaryotic SRP consists of a 300-nucleotide 7S RNA and six proteins: SRPs 72, 68, 54, 19, 14, and 9. The record is from Ensembl. Lineage: Eukaryota; Metazoa; Chordata; Mammalia; Primates; Hominidae.
ACCGGGUGUGGUAGUGUGUGCCUGUAGUCCCAGCUACUCGGGAGGCUAAGGUGGGAGGAUAGCUUGAGCCCAGGAGUUCUGGGCUGUAGUGCGCUUUGUUGAUCGGGUAUCCACACUUAAGUUCGGCAUCAAUAUGGUGACCUCCAAGGAGCAGGGGACCCCCAAGUUGUCUAAGGAGGGGAGAAGCAGCCCAGUUUGGAAACAGAACAGGCCAAAACUCCCGUGCUGAUCAGUAGUGGGAUUUUGCCUGUGAAUAACCAUUUCACUCCAGCCUGGGCACCAUAGCAAGACUGCAUCUCUA